GACGAACGCUGGCGGCGCGCUUAACACAUGCAAGUCGAACGGAAAGGCCUGCUUUCCCUUGUGGAUUGCGGGUACUCGAGUGGCGAACGGGUGAGUAACACGUGAGUGAUCUGCCCCCAACUUGGGUAUAAGCCUGGGAAACUGGGUCUAAUUCCCGAUAGGACUGCAGGGUGGUGCCUGUGGUGGAAAACGAUUUUCUAGUGGUUGGGGAUGAGCUCGCGGCCUAUCAGCUUGUUGGUGGGGUAAUGGCCUACCAAGGCGGCGACGGGUAGCCGGCCUGAGAGGGUGGACGGCCACAUUGGGACUGAGAUACGGCCCAGACUCCGACGGGAGGCAGCAGUGGGGAAUAAUGCACAAUGGGCGGAAGCCUGAUGCAGCGACGCCGCGUGGGGGAUGACGGCCUUCGGGUUGUAAACUCCUUUCGACCGCGAGGAAGCCACCUGGUUGGAAGGGUGGUGACGGUAGUGGUAGAAGAAGCACCGGCUAACUACG
RNAcentral lists this ribosomal RNA (492 nucleotides) under uncultured bacterium. RNAcentral describes it as "partial 16S ribosomal RNA". It matches the Rfam family "Bacterial small subunit ribosomal RNA", at positions 28 to 505 of the family's 1533-position model. The record is from RNAcentral.